Long non-coding RNA from Pyrus x bretschneideri (Chinese white pear), 4174 nucleotides. RefSeq lists it as uncharacterized. The transcript is spliced from 18 exons. Lineage: Eukaryota; Viridiplantae; Streptophyta; Magnoliopsida; Rosales; Rosaceae. The record is from RefSeq and is a predicted model, not a curated record.
GAGUCUACAUAUGGGAAGGUGCUCGAACCCUCUCUCAUUUUCUUCCGUUGCUUUUCCCUUUCGCCUGCUCUCUGUUUCUCUCUGCUUUUCUCCCUGUUCAAUCUUCGUGUUUCCUUGCUUAACUCUCUUCCAUUUUCUUCCGUCGCUUUUCCCUUUCUCUUCCUCUCUGUUUCCGUGCUUUUCUACCUGCGUCAAUCCUUCGUGUUUCCCUGUUUCUCUCUCUGCGUCGAUCGUGUGUCGUAUGAAGAGUUUCUUUUCCGGGUGAUUGCACUGUUUCAGGAAAAUUGGUGUGCGAAUUUUAGGGUUUUUGUGUACAACCUUGCAAACCCCUUCUGAUUAAGUAGGUGGAUCGGAUUUGAAGUAUUUUUUAGGGUGGGUAAAAAGGUUGAGCGGAGUUGGGAAAAUUCCUAAGUGGUUAAAGAAGAGUAGAAGAAACGUUCUGUUUAUUCCUCCAGAAAAGAUUAAGAAAGUUGGUGGUCACAAAUCAACUGACUCAACUUUAUAUCAACAUUGGAGCAUGCCUUACAAGUUUAUGCAGCUAUGCAGAGGGAUACGUAGUGGAACUUGGAUUUCAAAGAUCACAGUGAACAGGGUGAUAGGUGUAUUUCCUCCUUUUUUACCAUUUUAGAACUUAUAUUAGUGAUAAAUUAAUUCGAAUAAUGUGGCAUGAACUUAGAGCUCUGUUUGGGAAAGUGGGCUCUUUACCCCAAAGAUGCUUGCUUUUGGUAAUAUUUGGAAUUGUGCUUCUAAGCUGUUUUUCAAGCUUUUGGCCAUACUAAAUGGAGCUAAGUCGAACAGCUCUUCAGUUGCAUUGUAGUUGCUUUCCUAAAUUGAUUGUUCAUUUGUUGAAAAAAAUUUAAGGGCGAAAAUUAUGUUUCAAAUUGGAUUUAGAUAUGAGUAUUACACAUUCAACGUGUUGAAUUCAUCUUUGUUUUGGUGUUUGUGGUUUUGAAUGUCAUUUAGUGCAGUAUAGCUUUAACUUAAAUGUGGUUCUAUAUAUCUCAAGUACUCAUUUGGAUUUUGAGCAGUAGGAGAGAGUUUAGCACGUAUUUGAGGAAAUGCGAAGAACUUUUUUUGAAAUGGUGGUUUGGAGACGUUUGAAAUCAUAAGAAGACUCGAAGAUUUCAGCCAGAUAAAUCUUUAUGAACAGUCUCCUGCUUCUAUCAAUACCCAUGCCUAUUUUUUCACACAUUUAGUCUUCAGUAGAUGGGCUAAGCAAUUUCCACGUGGCAUUGUAUCAAAUUAUCAUUGAUCGUAGGUUUUCGUGGUGAGAUGGAAUAAAUUGGUGAAACGUAGAGUGAUUUAUUUGCAGAAAGGUUUGACCUUUGAAUUGGAGCUAUAGUGUUCGUUCCUAUUGCUACAUUGGCAGUUGUCUUCAUCUGAAACGAGUCAAUCAACUGUAUACCAUCACCGUCAAACAUUGAGAACUUCAGCAUGUACUACAAAUCUCGAUCAAAGCUAGAUUAACCUCUCAUAUGGUUUUUGCCAAUUGUCAUUUUUGAAGGCUAUGAUAGUUUAUGCCAUCAUCCAGUGUUACUAUUUGGAGAAGAUUGCUGAUCAAAAUAAUAGAAGCAUGUACAUCAUCACAAAUAAAACAAAAAAAUUGGGAAGCGACAGUCAAUAUAACUUUCAGGUACAAAUUAUUAUGUGUAUAAAUACAAUUGUAAAUAUUACACCUAAUAUGAAUGCACAUAUAUUUUAUAUAUUUUUUAAACACGCGGCAACGCGCGGGCACUAUUACUAGUAUAUACUAAAACCCAAACUUCUGGUUACUGUUUUAGAGCAGUGUACGGACCAAAAUACCCCUCAAUUCGUUUGUUAAGCCAAUUUUUUGCCAUCUUUGCUACAGUAAAAUGGCUUCCUUGCCCUCGGAGGCCACGCAUUUAUCCCCUCCGUCUUCUGGAUUUGUCCGCAUUGUGCAAAAAGGUGCUUCGGUGUUUUCUCCACUUUUCCUUCCGUUUUCACUUUCCAUCGGUCUCAAAUCUCGACUUCUCUCUGCGUCUCUCACUCAUCUCUCGACUUCUCUCUGCGUCUCUCACUCAUCUCUCAGCUCUCUCUCUCAAUCUUGAGGUACCCUGCCACUGGAUAUCGUUUGCCGUUGCCGAUCUGCAAGGUGGAUUGGUUAUCUCUAGGUCCAUCGUCGUUUCUUAGUCACUGUGCUCUUUGUUUUUUGGGACUUCUGUGUACAAGCUUGGAAGCCAAUUAUAUUCAAGGUAAAUAAUCUCGGUUUUUUACACAUUUUCUGCAACGAAUUGUAUUUUUUAAUAUUGUGAAAGUUAUGUUUUCUAUAGUGUGAAAGUCCAAUCUGUGGGAUUUAUUUAUUUUUUAAUUUUGGUGUCGUUGCUGUGUUGUUUUAUGGUUUUGGAUGGUGUUGGAUGACUUGGUGUUUCCAUUUAUGUGUUGCAAAAGAUUUUAUCUUUGCUGCUGAGCCAUAUGAGUGGUACAUUGACUUGCUGCGCUUCAGGGCUGUCAAACAUUGUGGUUUUGGUUUAGGAUUUGAACAGAUGGUUCUGUUUGCUACUGCUAUUGACAACAUUAGAGAUGUUAUUCCUUUCCCUAGAUAUCCAGGAAGAGCAAAUCGUUGAAUUAUUGAAAGGGAUAUAUUUGAAUUAGUUGUUAUAGGUUUGUGUCCUUUACCUUUAUCUACAUUAACAACAAUAUUGCCCAUUUCUAUUUCGUAUAGCAGAGCUUGAUACCAGGUUUGGGUCAGUCUCAAUUCCCAGUAGAUAUUACUUUGUUUUAAUUUAUUCAUCUUUUUUUCAAAUUUUUGUGCAAAUAUUUUUGAAACCCAAAUAAUUCAAAGUUCAAAUUUAUGUGUAAAUUGAUAGAUGUGGGUGUGCACCCAAUAUGACUUUUACAUGGUGUUGCUAUCUGGUUUUUCACAUAAUUAUAUUGGGAACUGUUGAAAUUUAGGUUUAGCUGCAGAUAAAACAAAAUCAAAACAUUACAAAGUAGAGGUAUAAUUUAAUUUUUAUAUUAACAUUGGAUUAAAUGAAUAUAGUAAGAACAUUGACUUGACGUAUGUGCCUUUGUUUCAUAUUUAGAAUGGAUGUUUUCCUGAAAUUUGCUAUUAAUUGGUUUUGAUUUUCCUCACCGAGCAUUUGAAGGGUGUAAUCUACUUAAAGUAAAUAACCCAAACAGUUGAAAAUGCACUCACCUAUUUUAUUGAUAACUAUACAGAGAUUUGAAUCAUUCAAUUUGUGUUAAAAUAUUGUAUUUUUUUAACUUCAAUGCUUUCUUCGUUAAUUUAUAUCAGCUUUUUAGCUUAUUAGUUGCUUAUAUAAUUAUUCCUGUGUUUUUUGUAAAUUUACGAAGAAAGAUUGCAAAAGAUCACUUAAUGCUUUGGAAAAUUGCUUGGUGAUUCUAUUUGGUAAGCUUUGAAAAGCCUCAUCUUUUUAUUCUUCGCUAUUUUGCCCUUAAUUUGUAUUUGUCUCCUUAUGCUUGGCUUGGACUUUGCUUCACUUUUUUUUAUCGGUUGCAUUUGUUUUUGCUACAGUGCAGCACAGUUUUGUCAAGCCCACGUGUUGGUCAUUGCGUGGUGCUUUGUUUGUGUCUUAUUUUCUUCCAUUUUGUUUCCUCUCAGUUCCAACUUUGCUUCGCUGUUGCUCUCACCCGUUUUGUUUCCUCUCAUUUCCAUCUUUGGCUUGCGAUCGGUCUCAAAGCUUAAAUCCUUUUUGCCUCACAAUUUUUUGCUUCGGGUCGUCGUAGAUUUUUGUGCUGUUGCUUUCAGUCGGUGUUUUGUGCAGUUCUGCAGCUUGCGGUUGCUGGGAAAAUAAGAAAUCAGUGUUUUUAUAAAAAUUCACCUUCAAAGAUUGAGGAAAAAUAUAUAAAGGUUGUUGGUGAUCGGUAUAAAGACAAAAUAAAAAAGGUUUGGUGGUUCUACUUUGGGUUGAGAAAGGAAAAAAAAAAAAAAAAAAAAAAAAAGAAGACAAUUUUGUUGGCAAUCAAUAUAAAGACAUAACACAAAAGGUUCUCACAAAAUUGUGCAACGUAGAAUUUUAAAGCAUUUGGUUUUGUGGUGCAAGGCUUUUGGUGUUUAAGGCAAGUGCUUUAAAUUCUGGAACUGUUUCUUUUAAAGCAUAAAUAUAUAAUUUUAUUUUUCUUUUUACAAGCAUUGUUAUGUUUGUUAUUUUAUUUAUCCUUCAUUCCAUUAAAAUUCCAAUAUUUUAGUGUU